This 467-nucleotide ribosomal RNA is filed under the name uncultured bacterium. Its description in RNAcentral is "partial 16S ribosomal RNA". It matches the Rfam family "Bacterial small subunit ribosomal RNA", at positions 28 to 506 of the family's 1533-position model. The record is from RNAcentral.
GACGAACGCUGGCGGUGUGCUUAACACAUGCAAGUCGAACGGUAAGGCCCUUUCGGGGGUACACGAGUGGCGAACGGGUGAGUAACACGUGAGUAACCUGCCCUCAUCUCUGGGAUAACAGUCGGAAACGGUUGCUAAUACUGGAUAUGAGCUUGCAAGGCAUCUUGUGGGUUGGAAAGAUUUUUUUUGGUUGGGGAUGGACUCGCGGCCUAUCAGCUUGUUGGUGAGGUAGUGGCUCACCAAGGCUUCGACGGGUAGCCGGCCUGAGAGGGCGACCGGCCACAUUGGGACUGAGAUACGGCCCAAACUCCUACGGGAGGCAGCAGUGGGGAAUAUUGCACAAUGGACGGAAGUCUGAUGCAGCAACGCCGCGUGCGGGAUGACGGCCUUCGGGUUGUAAACCGCUUUCAAUUGUGACGAAGCUUUUUUGUGACGGUAGCAGUAGAAGAAGCACCGGCUAACUACGU